CCCCCUCUACCUUGCGCGCGUCAACGUCGCGGAGGGGUGGCAACGCGCCAUUAUAGGCGCGGCAAAGCGCAAGA
This 74-nucleotide non-coding RNA is filed under the name unclassified sequences. The record is from RNAcentral.